UCCUCACUUCAGGACACAAUUGAUUUUGUGUCAUUGCGGUACCGUAGUAACGGUGAAAAGUCUGAGGUUGAUGGUGGUGCUUCAAGUACUUCGCCUUUGCUGGGCAAAAAUGCAGUAGUUGAUUAUCCUAUAAUUGUAAAACAAGAUCAAGGCAAUUAUGUACUAAAAGAAGAAAGCAGAAGAAAUAUUGCUGGCUGGACCAUAGCAUUCACAUGUAUUGGGGCAUUUAUUCUUACAUAUGCAGCCACGGAUUUGAAUCUUCCUGGGGUUGUUCGCUUUACAUUGUGUGGUAUUGGUGGUGCUCUCCUUCUGUGUGGUCUGAUUGUGCUGAAUCUUAUUGAACAAGAUGAUGCAAGACACAGCUUUGGUCAUUCUGGAGGAUUUAUUUGUCCAUUUGUUCCACUCCUUCCUAUCACCUGCAUUCUCAUCAACAUAUAUCUGCUGAUUAAUCUUGGUGUUGCCACCUGGACCCGUGUUUCAAUCUGGCUCCUAAUUGGAGUGUUCGUUUAUCUAUUCUAUGGGAGAACUCACAGCUCACUGUUAGAUGCAGUCUAUGUGCCUGCAGCUCAUGCUGAUGAGAUUUAUCGCAGCUCUGGAUAUAGUUUAGCUUAGAAUCCAGGAUUCUCACAACAGAAUCUCUUUGUUGUAUGAUGGCAUUCUCCCCAAACAUGCCCUCCCCCAUUCUUUUGGCUUUUUAUAUUAUUUUCCCCCUUUCCCUAUGUGUUGUAUGUAUUCUUACAGUGGCUCAAAUCAGUCGUGUGCAUAGCAUAUUAUAAUAGAGGGUUGACAUGGGGACAUGCUUAAGCAUUGUAAGUAGUUUGAAAGUGGAAGAAGAUAUUCUUCUUCUUUUGUUUACAUUGCCUAAUGAAUAUUCUUCUUGACACAGUGAUAAACCCC
Molecule: unclassified non-coding RNA, 897 nt
Filed under: Hevea brasiliensis (rubber tree)
Lineage: Eukaryota; Viridiplantae; Streptophyta; Magnoliopsida; Malpighiales; Euphorbiaceae
Source: RNAcentral